Molecule: long non-coding RNA, 1331 nt
Filed under: Rattus norvegicus (Norway rat)
Lineage: Eukaryota; Metazoa; Chordata; Mammalia; Rodentia; Muridae
Description: long non-coding RNA NONRATT010747
Source: RNAcentral
CCCCAGUCCAGCCUCAUGACCUGCUGAGCCUCCUCAGAGCGCUUCAUUGUCAGUGAGACCUCUACGUUCUGUGGAACUCAGACCCAUCCAUGUCAUACUGACCUUUUUGCUGCAUGAGUCAUAAAUUAUGAAGUCAGUCUUAUGGUUUCUGAGAUGUAACCAGCGUUUUGUAAGGCUAAACCUUUUUCACGAACUUGAUUUAAGUGGAUAACCAAACCACAGGCCCUCCUCCAAAUGAGAGAUGACAAGACAAUUGACUCUCUGCCCUUUGCAGUGGCGAUGGCAUCAGGUCCUAAAAUAAGCUCAUAAUUUUCCUUAUUUUAAUAAUAUGGAAAUAUUAGCAUAGUGUUUCUUUUGAUAGCGAUAGACCGAUCCGUAUUUAAAUUUUAUAGAGAAGAAAUUUUAUUGUACUGUGAUGUAGAUAUUUAUUACCCAGGUAAGGAUUUGCCCGGUGUGUAUUUUUUACAAUUGAGACAUUUUACUUUAAUCUUUAAAAGAGAAAAAAAGACUAUUAAAAACAUAUACGUAUUAAAAAAAAAAAAGGCUAGGGAGAAAAAAAGGUUUGGCCUUAUCACAGGAUUUUUACUGUGUCGUAUAAAUGUUUGCAAAUGAAAAAAGAAAUCGCACAUUUUUGGUGUGUUUUCCACAUUAAUUAGUGCCGCCUCCAGGAGCGAUAUUGUGCAGUAAACACUGUUUGUGGCUUUCUGUCGCACAGCUCGAACUGGCCCCACCUUAUGCACAAGACAAUCAGACGUGAGUCUUUCCUCUGAGGACACAGACCAUACGCAACAGAGCACAAUGUGACGCCAAGAACGAGACUUGUAGGCGUGCGGCUGACAGAGGUGGUCAGGGCGUGUGCGCACUCGAGUGGCCUUGGGCCACUGCCUCCCUUUGGCUGUCCUUUGUGGCGUUGGCACCUUUCGCUUGACAUCAAAUAGCCAAAGUAGUUCUCUGUGUUUUCUUCAGAGAAGACCGUUCUUUUUCCAGUAAUGUUUUCAUGCCCUGUGAAUCAGAAAAAAAAAAAAAAAACAACAACAACAACAAAAAAAAGGUACGGGUGGAGUAGAGAGGUUCAUAGUAAGUGGAAGGUUUGUGUUUUGCAAACAGUGUUAAGUGAUAUUGCUGUUGCUAGAUUGGUAAUAUUUUUUCAGCCUAAAAUUGUUGAAAUCUGUGAUCAAAUGUUUUAAACUAUCCAAAAGGAAAAUUUGUAUAUUUGGGAAAAUGGAUUUUUACAUAGCUUUUUGUAUGCAAAUAUUAAAUUGUAAUUAUGAAUAUAGUGGGCGUAGGUACUCAUAAGCUUAAAUUCUAAAAAAAGAAAAGGCUUACAAUGG